This 209-nucleotide ribosomal RNA is filed under the name uncultured bacterium. RNAcentral describes it as "partial 16S ribosomal RNA". It matches the Rfam family "Bacterial small subunit ribosomal RNA", at positions 335 to 541 of the family's 1533-position model. The record is from RNAcentral.
ACUCCUACGGGAGGCAGCAGUAGGGAAUAUUGGGCAAUGGACGAGAGUCUGACCCAGCCAUGCCGCGUGCAGGAUGAAGGCUUUCUGAGUCGUAAACUGCUUUUGCCAGGGAAGAAAAAGAGGGAUGCGUCCUUCACUGACGGUACCUGGUGAAUAAACACCGGCUAACUCCGUGCCAGCAGCCGCGGUAAUACGGAGGGUGCAAGCGU